Small nuclear RNA from Suncus etruscus (white-toothed pygmy shrew), 104 nucleotides. The record is from RefSeq and is a predicted model, not a curated record. NCBI's taxonomy places the organism in Eukaryota, Metazoa, Chordata, Mammalia, Eulipotyphla, Soricidae.
GCUCUCGCUACGGCAGCACACAUACUAAAAUUGGAAUGAUACAGAGAUUAGCAUGGCCCCCGUGCAAGGAUGACACGCAAAUUCGUGAAGCAUUUCAUAUUAAA